CACGUAGGGCGCAAGCGUUGUCCGGAAUUAUUGGGCGUAAAGAGCUCGUAGGCGGUCUGUUACGUCUGCUGUGAAAACCCAGGGCUUAACCCUUGGCUUGCAGUGGAUACGGACAGACUAGAGGUAGGUAGGGGAGAAUGGAAUUCCCGGUGUAGCGGUGAAAUGCGCAGAUAUCGGGAGGAACACCAGUGGCGAAGGCGACACGCUGGGCCGUACCUGACACUGAUGCGCGACAGCAUGGGGAGCAAACAGG
This 253-nucleotide ribosomal RNA is filed under the name uncultured bacterium. RNAcentral's name for it is "partial 16S ribosomal RNA". It matches the Rfam family "Bacterial small subunit ribosomal RNA", at positions 524 to 776 of the family's 1533-position model. The record is from RNAcentral.